RNAcentral lists this ribosomal RNA (490 nucleotides) under uncultured bacterium. Its description in RNAcentral is "partial 16S ribosomal RNA". It matches the Rfam family "Bacterial small subunit ribosomal RNA", at positions 30 to 507 of the family's 1533-position model. The record is from RNAcentral.
AUUGAACGCUGGCGGCAGGCCUAACACAUGCAAGUCGAACGGUAACAGGAAGAAGCUUGCUUCUUUGCUGACGAGUGGCGGACGGGUGAGUAAUGUCUGGGAAACUGCCUGAUGGAGGGGGAUAACUACUGGAAACGGUAGCUAAUACCGCAUAAUGUCGCAAGACCAAAGAGGGGGACCUUCGGGCCUCUUGCCAUCGGAUGUGCCCAGAUGGGAUUAGCUAGUAGGUGGGGUAACGGCUCACCUAGGCGACGAUCCCUAGCUGGUCUGAGAGGAUGACCAGCCACACUGGAACUGAGACACGGUCCAGACUCCUACGGGAGGCAGCAGUGGGGAAUAUUGCACAAAGGGCGCAAGCCUGAUGCAGCUAUGCCGCGUGUAUGAAGAAGGCCUUCGGGUUGUAAAGUACUUUCAGCGGGGAGGAAGGGAGUAAAGUUAAUACCUUUGCUCAUCGACGUUACCCGCAGAAGAAGCACCGGCUAACUCCGUG